RNAcentral lists this ribosomal RNA (253 nucleotides) under uncultured bacterium. RNAcentral's name for it is "partial 16S ribosomal RNA". It matches the Rfam family "Bacterial small subunit ribosomal RNA", at positions 524 to 776 of the family's 1533-position model. The record is from RNAcentral.
UACGUAGGGGGCAAGCGUUGUCCGGAUUUAUUGGGCGUAAAGAGCGUGUAGGCGGCCAGGUAGGUCCGUUGUGAAAACUCGAGGCUCAACCUCGAGACGUCGGCGGAAACCCUCUGGCUAGAGUCCGGAAGAGGAGAGUGGAAUUCCUGGUGUAGCGGUGAAAUGCGCAGAUAUCAGGAAGAACACCUAUUGCGAAGGCAGCUCGCUGGGACGUAACUGACGCUGAGACGCGAAAGCGUGGGGAGCAAACAGG